This 253-nucleotide ribosomal RNA is filed under the name uncultured bacterium. Its description in RNAcentral is "partial 16S ribosomal RNA". It matches the Rfam family "Bacterial small subunit ribosomal RNA", at positions 524 to 776 of the family's 1533-position model. The record is from RNAcentral.
UACAGAGGGGGCAAGCGUUAUUCGGAAUUAUUGGGCGUAAAGCGUGCGCAGGCGGUUUGUUAAGUCUGAUGUGAAAGCCCUGGGCUCAACCUGGGAAUGGCAUUGGAAACUGGCGACCUAGAGUGCGGUAGAGGGUAGUGGAAUUCCCGGUGUAGCAGUGAAAUGCGUAGAGAUCGGGAGGAACAUCCGUGGCGAAGGCGACUACCUGGACCAGCACUGACACUGAGGCACGAAAGCGUGGGGAGCAAACAGG